GGCUUUAGUCCUGAGCCUAACUGUUGUCUAGGGCCGACGUUACACAUGCUAGCAUCCGCACCCCCGUGUUCAUGCCCAACCUCUGCCCAAACCAGAUCAGGAGCUGGUAUCAGGCACACCCCCUAGUAGCCCAAAACACCAAGCCAUGUGCCACACCCCCACGGAAUCCAGCAGUGAUAAACAUUAAGCAAUGAGCCAACGCUCGACUUAGACUAAGGUCCGACCAGAGCCGGUUAACUGCGUGCCAGCCGCCGCGGUUAUACGUAGGGCUCAAGAUAACUAACAACGGCGUAAAGCGUGACUAGAGGUAUAACAACCGGGGUCACAAGUGCAUAAAAGCUGUAAAACGCUUAUUACUGCAAACCCCCCACAGGCCCCCCCAACCACAAUUACUCGAUCGCACGAAAGCUAGGGUACAAACUGGGAUUAGAUACCCCACUAUGCCUAGCCCUUAACUAAGGCAGUCCAACUACACCACUGCUCGCCAGAGAAUUACAAGCAAAAAGCUUAAAACUCAAAGGACUUGACGGUGUCCCACAGCAACCUAGAGGAGCCUGUCCUAUAAUCGAUGACCCACGUUUCACCCAACCCCCCCUUGCAACCCCAGCCUAUAUACCGCCGUCGCCAGCCAGCCCUGUGAAGGCCGCCACAGCCAGCACAACAACCCAACCGCCAAAACGUCAGGUCAAGGUGUAGCUGAUGGGGGGGGUAGAGAUGGGCUACAUUUCCUACACUAGGAAACACACUGCAGACACCCUGAAAACUGGUGUUCAAAGGUGGAUUUAGCAGUAAGAUCGGAUUAGAUUACCCGAACUGAAGCAUGCCCUGGGCCACGU
This 836-nucleotide non-coding RNA is filed under the name Rhoptropus diporus. Its description in RNAcentral is "partial 12S ribosomal RNA". It matches the Rfam family "Bacterial small subunit ribosomal RNA", at positions 9 to 1384 of the family's 1533-position model. Lineage: Eukaryota; Metazoa; Chordata; Lepidosauria; Squamata; Gekkonidae. The record is from RNAcentral.